ACUUGGCUGGCUCAGUCGGUGGAGCAUGGGACUCUUGAUCUCGGGGUGGUGAGUUAAAGUCCCACGUUGGGUG
Molecule: transfer RNA, 73 nt
Filed under: Felis catus (domestic cat)
Lineage: Eukaryota; Metazoa; Chordata; Mammalia; Carnivora; Felidae
Also listed under: 2 other names
Rfam family: tRNA
About the family: Transfer RNA (tRNA) molecules are approximately 80 nucleotides in length. Their secondary structure includes four short double-helical elements and three loops (D, anti-codon, and T loops).
Source: Rfam by way of RNAcentral